This is a long non-coding RNA of Nasonia vitripennis (jewel wasp), 780 nucleotides long. RefSeq lists it as uncharacterized. The record is from RefSeq and is a predicted model, not a curated record. Lineage: Eukaryota; Metazoa; Arthropoda; Insecta; Hymenoptera; Pteromalidae. The transcript has 2 exons.
CUGUUCACUCGUCGAGCAAGCAGUGCCCACUCAACCCACUCUCAAGAUGUUCAAGCUGUUCCUGCUCGCCGCCAUCCUGGCCUUCGCCGCCGCCAACCCCGCCCCGGCUCCGGCCCCGGCACCCGAGCCCAAGCCCGGUGCGAUCCUCGCGGCGCCCUACAGCAGCUACAUCGCUCCCCUCGCCUACAACGGCUACGCCGCCCCGGCGCUGACCUACAACUCCUACGGCUACCUGCCGACCUACUACAGGUCCGGAUACCUCUACUAAGUCGUCGCGGCUGCUGCUACGUCGUCUCCUCCGGAAGGGCCGUCGUCCGCAGCCACAAGACGGCGCGACAACAUCUCGACACGCAACGAACGCCGUCGGCUGCGAGAAGGAACAACCGAUGAAGCGGAGCUGAGGAGGAGGCGGCGACUCGACACUCCGGGAAUUUCAUCUGGAAAAGCACGCAUCACCACGCGAUAACUCUCACCACACACACACACACACAUACACACACCCCGUCCUUCCGCCGAACCCGUCCAUCACCCGAACCCCCUCAGUAACGUCCUCCAUCUCAGCAUCAACCUCCCAGCAGUAUCUCAACCGAACCGAAAGACCGAAGCAUCACUCCCCACGUCUCAUCUCGUUUCGUUCAUGUCUCGGUAUCACCGAAUCGGCCGAUCUACUCGAAUCGCCGAGCGACUCUUCACUCUUGUAAUGGGAGUCGCUAUGGUCGAGUCUUGUGGACUUGUCGAUCUACAAUAAAAUUGCUUAAAGGCUAAUUCUUUUCAUCGCAA